This 253-nucleotide ribosomal RNA is filed under the name uncultured bacterium. RNAcentral's name for it is "partial 16S ribosomal RNA". It matches the Rfam family "Bacterial small subunit ribosomal RNA", at positions 524 to 776 of the family's 1533-position model. The record is from RNAcentral.
UACAGAGGGGGCAAGCGUUGUUCGGAAUUACUGGGCGUAAAGGGCGCGUAGGAGGCUUGGUAAGUCAGGUGUGAAAUCCCGCAGCUCAACUGCGGAACUGCAUUCGAUACUGCCGAGCUAGAGGAUCGGAGGGGGAAGCGGAAUUCUUGGUGUAGCGGUGAAAUGCGUAGAUAUCAAGAGGAACACCGGUGGCGAAGGCGGCUUCCUGGAAGAUACCUGACUCUGAAACACGAAAGCUAGGGGAGCGAAUGGG